Molecule: ribosomal RNA, 468 nt
Filed under: uncultured bacterium
Lineage: Bacteria
Description: partial 16S ribosomal RNA
Rfam family: Bacterial small subunit ribosomal RNA
Source: RNAcentral
GACGAACGCUGGCGGCGUGCUUAACACAUGCAAGUCGAACGGAAAGGCCCUGCUUUUGUGGGGUGCUCGAGUGGCGAACGGGUGAGUAACACGUGAGUAACCUGCCCUUGACUUUGGGAUAACUUCAGGAAACUGGGGCUAAUACCGGAUAGGAGCUCCUGCUGCAUGGUGGGGGGUGGAAAGUUUCGGCGGUUGGGGAUGGACUCGCGGCUUAUCAGCUUGUUGGUGGGGUAGUGGCUUACCAAGGCUUUGACGGGUAGCCGGCCUGAGAGGGUGACCGGCCACAUUGGGACUGAGAUACGGCCCAGACUCCUACAGGAGGCAGCAGUGGGGAAUAUUGCACAAUGGGCGGAAGCCUGAUGCAGCAACGCCGCGUGCGGGAUGACGGCCUUCGGGUUGUAAACCGCUUUCGCCUGUGACGAAGCGUGAGUGACGGUAAUGGGUAAAGAAGCACCGGCUAACUACGUG